CCUACGGGAGGCAGCAGUGAGGAAUUUUCCGCAAUGGGCGAAAGCCUGACGGAGCAAUACCGCGUGAGGGAUGAAGGAUUUUGGUCUGUAAACCUCUUUUCUCAAGAAAGAAGUUCUGACGGUACUUGAGGAAUAAGCAUCGGCUAACUCCGUGCCAGCAGCCGCGGUAAUACGGGGGGAUGCAAGCGUUAUCCGGAAUGAUUGGGCGUAAAGCGCCUGUAGGUUGUUUAUUAAGUCCGUUGUUAAAGCCUAGGGCUUAACCCUAGAAAAGCAAUGGAAACUAGUAGACUAGAGUAUGGCAGGGGUAGAGGGAAUUUCUAGUGUAGCGGUGAAAUGCGUAGAUAUUAGAAAGAACACCGGUGGCGAAAGCGCUCUACUGGACCAUUACUGACACUCAGAGGCGAAAGCUAGGGUAGCAAAAGGGAUUAAGAUACCCCUGUAGUCCUAGCCGUAAACGAUGGAUACUAGAUGUUGUGCAUUAUGUACAGUAUCGUAGCUAACGCGUUAAGUAUCCCGCCUGGGGAGUACGCUCGCAAGGGUGAAACUUAAAGGAAUUGACG
RNAcentral lists this ribosomal RNA (560 nucleotides) under uncultured bacterium. RNAcentral describes it as "bacterial SSU rRNA". It matches the Rfam family "Bacterial small subunit ribosomal RNA", at positions 338 to 915 of the family's 1533-position model. The record is from RNAcentral.